Long non-coding RNA from Homo sapiens (human), 1982 nucleotides. Ensembl annotates it as MIR4300 host gene. The record is from Ensembl. Lineage: Eukaryota; Metazoa; Chordata; Mammalia; Primates; Hominidae.
GGGCAACCAUAGAAAAGGAUUGAUGUAAGUGUCCACUGUCCCUGCUUGUAACCCUGGACUUCAGAGUGAUGUUGGAGGAAAACUGGGAACCUCUACAGACUUGAGCUGCUACAAAGCCUUGGUUUCCUUUCUCAGCUCCUGGCUUGCAGUUAGUUGUGUCCAUGUGACUGAGUCUUUUUUUUUUGUUUUGAGAUGGAGUCUCACUCUUGUCGCCCAGGCUGGCGUGCAGUGCCAUGAUCUCGGCUCACUACAACCUCCAUCUCCCAGCUUCCAGCGAUUCUCCUGCUUCAGCCUCCUGAGUAGCUGGGAUUAGAGGCACCCCCAACCAUGCCUGGCUAAUUUUUGUAUUUUUAGUAGAGACAGGGUUUCACCGCGUUGGCCAGGCUGGUCUCAAACUCCUGACCUCAAGUGAUCCUCCCGCCUCUGCCUCCCAAAGUGCUGAGAUUACCAUGCCCGGCCUGUGACUGAGUCUUAGGUGAUGGAAUGUGAGCGGAAGUGAUACACAUCACUUGUGAGUCUGGUCCAUAGAACUCUCUACAUAGAAAUCUCCAAGUCAUUUGUCCUUUUGUGGUGUGAUGCAGAUGAGCAUGGCAGUUUUGGGAUUCAUGUGUUGAAGAUGGAAUCACAAGAUGCAAUGAAUCUGGGUCUUCAAGUCACCACUUGGAGGAGAGCUACCUGUCCAUGAAGAACACCUCUUUUGGACUUUCCAUAGCAAGAAGUUGGAACUUCAGUGCAGAGGGUUGAAGUAAUCAUAUUCUUCAGUUGAAGAGACUAAAACAACUUUACCAGAUUGAAACACUCAAGACAAAGGAGCCCAGGAACAAAAUUCAUCAGAAAACUAGAGGAAGUUUUCAUGGAGUUGCUGUGAGUUAGAAACUUUUAAUGAAUCCGGUUGUAUUGUUUACCAAGUUAAGAUCCUCUCAGAUGUCAGGAGAUAGAUGUGUAGAUGUCAGCUUAUAAAAUACAGCUCUGGUGUGAUAGCAGAAAUAUAAGAGGCUUGAAUCCCUCCAUGCCAAGAGAUAAUGAAGGAGGCCUGAGAUAAGUUGGAAGAAAAACUGGCUACCAAGAGGGAUAGCAUUUUUUUUUUGUUGUUAAAUCAAAUAUUUAUGAGACUGGGCUUUGAUUUCCCCAUGGUUUAACAAUUCAAGGGAAAGAUAAUUUUUGAGAGAUACUUAAGGUGUUGGAGUAAUUCAGGUAACUGUACCUAGUAUGAAAAUAAUCACUAGAAUUUCGAAUGCAUACAAAUUGUGAUGGGAGUAGAAGAAAAUUUGCAAUGUUAAUACAUGAUGAUGUAACAUGUUCAAAUGAUUAAAAUAUGUCCUAGUGUCAUAGACAUGAUUCUAUCUCUUGUCAGUACAGAACAUUUGGUUUUGAUUUUGGAUUUUACUAAUGUUUAUUGAAUGCCUAUCAUGUGUUGGACACAUGAUAGGUUUUAAAAUCUUUAAUGAUUACUAAAUCCAUUAAAUAUAUAUUAUUUCAUUUUUUAGGUAAGAAAACUGAUAUUCAGAUAAGUUAAAUGGUGCUCAAAGACACAGAGUUAGUAAGGUAAAAGUUGGACUUGAUACUCAGGUCUGUAUGUCUGUAUGACAUCAAAAUCCAUGAUCUUUUCCUGAUAUAAUUUUUUUUGUUUUGGAGACAAGAUCUUACUUUGUCUGUCAUCCAGGCUAGAGUGCAGUGGUGCAAUCUCAGCUCACUGCAGCCUCCACAUAUGGGGCUCAAGUGUUCUUCCCACCUCAGCCUCCUGAGUAGCUGGGAUUACAGGCACAUGCCAUUAUGCCUGGCCUAAUUUUUGUAUUAUUUGUAGAGAUUGCGUCUCAUUAUGCUGCCCAGGCUGGUCCUGAACCCCUGGGCUCAAGCAAUCCACCCAGCCUAGGCCUCCCAAAGUGCUAGGAUUACAGGCAUGAGCCACCAUUCCCAGCCCCAAUUCUAGCAUUCUUAAACUAUAAUUUCUGGAUCAAAGAAGAUUAUGGAGACUUGGCUUG